GACGAACCGUGCGAACGUUAUUCGGAAUCACUGGGCUUAAAGCGCGUGUAGGCGGAUGGGGACGUCGGUCGCUGAAAUCCCCCGGCUCAACCGGGGAAUAGCGUCCCAAACCGCCGUGCUCGAGGGAGACAGAGGUGAGCGGAACUGAUGGUGGAGCGGUGAAAUGCGUUGAUAUCAUCAGGAACACCAGUGGCGAAGGCGGCUCACUGGGUCUUUCCUAACGCUGAGGCACGAAAGCUAGGGGAGCGAACGGG
This 254-nucleotide ribosomal RNA is filed under the name uncultured bacterium. Its description in RNAcentral is "partial 16S ribosomal RNA". It matches the Rfam family "Bacterial small subunit ribosomal RNA", at positions 524 to 776 of the family's 1533-position model. The record is from RNAcentral.